This is a long non-coding RNA of Quercus lobata, 552 nucleotides long. RefSeq lists it as uncharacterized. NCBI's taxonomy places the organism in Eukaryota, Viridiplantae, Streptophyta, Magnoliopsida, Fagales, Fagaceae. The transcript has 3 exons. The record is from RefSeq and is a predicted model, not a curated record.
AAAACUUAUUCUUAAGUGCUUCCCAUGGGUCAAUAAAAAAAAAAGAAAUAAAAUUACUUCCCAUGGGCGAGACGAGAGCUUGUGUUUUUUACACCCACAUUUUUUUUUUUUUUUUUUUUUUAUGCCUUUGCUCUGUUACUUGCGAGCUCAGCUCUGUUGUAGUACCUACCACUCGGUUUGAUUUCUGUGAAAUUUUGAAAAAAAAAAACAAGGUGUCAACGGUCGCCUUUUGCCCCAGGUUAAGAAACGUUCAUUUUGAGAGGAUGGAUCCAAACGGCCAAAGCCCCCAAAAUCCAGUGAUUUCAAAUAAAGGCAUACGUGGAGCCGCAGAGGUUAGGAAUUUCAUACGUCUCUUCGCGAUCCCUAGCCCUAACCAAAACUAUUCCUAUCUUUCAACUCAAAUGCCGCUGUGACUGAUGGCUUAACGAUCAGAUUGAAAGCUUUAAUUUCAAGAGCUUUUGAUGGCCUAUUCAACAGCUUAAAGGCGGCUGUGAAUUUAGUGAUCAGAUUGAGGGAUUCAAUUUUGGAAGCUCUUUAUCACCUACUGAACAG